This is a long non-coding RNA of Vicia villosa (hairy vetch), 252 nucleotides long. RefSeq lists it as uncharacterized. The transcript is spliced from 2 exons. The record is from RefSeq and is a predicted model, not a curated record. Lineage: Eukaryota; Viridiplantae; Streptophyta; Magnoliopsida; Fabales; Fabaceae.
AUUGCAUGAAAAAUUUCUAUUCAACUAAUUUGGUGUGUUGCAGAAUGGGAAAGGGUUUAAUAUGGGCGACGGCAGAGGAUUUGAGUCGGAACAGGAGUCGAGUUCUGUCGCUAUAUCGUCAGACACUGAGAAGCCUGAAUUCUCCUUGGUUGCCACUGAACUUCGCCUCUAGACUCGCUAUGAAAGCUAAGGUUGGGGGUUUGUUGCUAUUGAUUAAACCAAUUCAAUAGUACUUUCAACUUGCCCCGAAAA